UCCGCGGAACCUCCCUGCGUAGAACCAAGCAUGUUCCCGCGUAGAAUCGCGUGGUACAUAUACAGAAGAUGUUAAGGAAGAUGGGUCAAUCCUCCUGUGUCUGCUGGAUAAUGCGGUUACUUGUGGUUGUGGUGGUGUUCAGUCUUCUCUCCUACACUGAGUGUAAUAAGCUAGAUGGUCUGGUGAAUCAAGCACAGGGAUUUGGAGAAACACAUGAAGGACCAGUUAAAGCAACACUACUAAGAGAAGGACGACAGCUGCAGGUAAAUGAAACGAUU
Molecule: long non-coding RNA, 278 nt
Organism: Eurytemora carolleeae
Lineage: Eukaryota; Metazoa; Arthropoda; Copepoda; Calanoida; Temoridae
Exons: 3
Source: RefSeq, a predicted model, not a curated record